Molecule: ribosomal RNA, 476 nt
Filed under: uncultured bacterium
Lineage: Bacteria
Description: partial 16S ribosomal RNA
Rfam family: Bacterial small subunit ribosomal RNA
Source: RNAcentral
GAUGAACGCUGGCGGCGUGCUUAACACAUGCAAGUCGAGCGAGUGAGUUCUUCGGAACGAUCUAGCGGCGGACGGGUGAGUAACACGUGGGCAACCUGCCUCAUAGAGGGGAAUAGCCUCCCGAAAGGGAGAUUAAUACCGCAUAACAUCGUUGAAGGGCAUCCUUCGAUGAUCAAAGGAGCAAUCCGCUAUGAGAUGGGCCCGCGGCGCAUUAGCUAGUUGGUGAGGUAACGGCUCACCAAGGCGACGAUGCGUAGCCGACCUGAGAGGGUGAUCGGCCACAUUGGGACUGAGACACGGCCCAGACUCCUACGGGAGGCAGCAGUGGGGAAUAUUGCACAAUGGGGGAAACCCUGAUGCAGCAACGCCGCGUGAGUGAUGACGGCCUUCGGGUUGUAAAGCUCUGUCUUUGGGGACGAUAAUGACGGUACCCAAGGAGGAAGUCACGGCUAACUACGUGCCAGCAGCCGCCGCGG